RNAcentral lists this ribosomal RNA (241 nucleotides) under uncultured bacterium. Its description in RNAcentral is "partial 16S ribosomal RNA". It matches the Rfam family "Bacterial small subunit ribosomal RNA", at positions 15 to 236 of the family's 1533-position model. The record is from RNAcentral.
GAUCCUGGCUCAGGAUGAACGCUGGCGGCGUGCUUAACACAUGCAAGUCGAGCGAAGCACUUAAGUUCGAUUCUUCGGAUGAAGACUUUUGUGACUGAGCGGGCGGACGGGUGAGUAACGCGUGGGUAACCGUGCCUCAUACAGGGGGAGUAACAGUUAGAAAUGGCUGCUAAUACCGCAUAAGACCACAGUACUGCAUGGUACGGUGGUAAAACUCCGGUGGUAUGAGAUGGACCCGCGU